Molecule: unclassified non-coding RNA, 296 nt
Filed under: Lecanicillium sp.
Lineage: Eukaryota; Fungi; Ascomycota; Sordariomycetes; Hypocreales; Cordycipitaceae
Description: partial contains 5.8S ribosomal RNA, internal transcribed spacer 2, and large subunit ribosomal RNA
Rfam family: 5.8S ribosomal RNA (bases 1-71)
Source: RNAcentral
GUGAAUCAUCGAAUCUUUGAACGCACAUUGCGCCCGCCAGCAUUCUGGCGGGCAUGCCUGUUCGAGCGUCAUUUCAACCCUCGACCUCCCCUUGGGGAAGUCGGCGUUGGGGACCGGCAGUAUACCGCCGGCCCCGAAAUGGAGUGGCGGCCCGUCCGCGGCGACCUCUGCGUAGUAAUCCAACCUCGCACCGGAACCCCGACGUGGCCACGCCGUAAAACCCCCAACUUUCUGAACGUUGACCUCGGAUCAGGUAGGAAUACCCGCUGAACUUAAGCAUAUCAAUAAGCGGAGGA